UCCAGCUUCCAAGUCACCUCUGCUCCGCUUCCACGCUCUUUCUAGUACCAGCAGCAGAGCUAGCAAAGAGCAAACGCGUCACCGGCCACCAGAUCUCCCACCCCCGCCUCCGAUGAAUCCACCCGCCGCCGCCUAGUCGCGCCGCCCCGGGUGCCCCACCACCACACUCCGCGCCACCGCACCGCCCAAUGUCGUCGUCGGAGCCCGAUGCCGAGGGCGCCCUCGGCGGUGGCGCCUCCCCAUCCGCCCGCGUGCUCGCCCGCGCCCUCGACAAGAUCAUCAAGCACUCCUCCUGGCGCCGACACGCCGCGCUCGUCGCCGCCUCCAAGUCCGCGCUCGACCUCCUCUCCUCCUCCUCCUCCUCCUCCUCCUCCCCGGCUCCUGAUGACGAGCCCGACACCUCCUCGCCCGCCUCCCCCGUCCCCGGCCUCCCAGCGCCCGCCGCCGACGCCGCCCUCGCCGCGCUUCUCAUCGCGCUCGACCCGGCGUCCCCGAAGGUGGCCGAGCCCGCGCUCGAGUGCGUCGCCGGCCUCCUCUCCCUCCGCCUCCUCCUCGGCGACGUCGACGCCGCCGACCCCUCCCCGGUCUCGAAGCUCUUCGCCGCGGUGCUCUCCUGCGUCUCGCUCGGUGGCGGCGGGGACGAAGCGCUCGAGCUCGCCGUGCUGCGCGUGCUCGUCGCGUUCGCGCGGUGCCCGGGCGUCUCCGUCAGCGGGGACUGCCUGGGCCAGGUGGUCAAGGCGUGCUACAACGUCUACCUCGGGAGCGCCAGCGGCGGCAACCAGCUCUGUGCCAAACUGGCCCUCGCACAGGUGCUGGUCAUCGUGUUCGCGCGCGUCGAGGCCGACGCCAUGGACGUCCGCGUGCGCACUGUCUCCGCUGCCGACAUGAUGGACCUCUCUGACCGCAGCCUCAACGACUCCAGCGUCGUACAGGCGGCUCAAGUGUUCAUAAACGAGGCCAUGGAAGGGAGCGACGUGCCGGAGGAGGCACCCCCUGUAGAUGCGGCGUCAGUUGAGGGGGAAGGCACUGGGGAGGAUAGUGGAUUAAGCAAGAUCAGGGAGGAUGGCCUAGCAUUGUUCAAGAACCUAUGCAAGUUGUCAAUGAAGUUUGGUACUCCUGAUAGCCCGGAUGAUCCAAUGCUAUUGAGGGGGAAGGUGUUGUCGCUGGAGCUGGUUAGGAUGGUCAUUGACAAUGCAGGGUCAUUCUGGAAGACGAAUGAAAAGUAUCUUGAAGCAGUUAAGCAGUACCUUUGUUUAUCCUUGUUGAAGAAUAGUGCCUUGUCCGCAAUGAGUGUCUUCCAAUUAUUGUGUUCCAUCUUUAUGAGUCUAAUAUCAAGGUUUAGAUCUGGUUUGAAAGAGGAAAUUGGAAUGUUUUUUCCUAUGCUUAUCUUAAGAGUUCUUGAAAAUGUUCUCCAGCCUAGCUUUUUGCAGAAGAUGACAGUUCUAAACUUUUUGGAGAAGAUAUCUAAAGAACCUCAGGUUAUUAUUGAUAUCUUUGUGAACUUUGAUUGUGAUGUUGACGCACCAAAUAUUUUUGAAAGGAUUAUCAAUGGACUUCUAAAGACUGCUUUAGGUGUCCCUACUGGAUCUACAACAACAUUAACUGUUGCACAAGACCAAACAUUUAGGAUUGAGUCUGUCAAGUGCCUUGCAACUGUUGUUAAGUCGAUGAGUGCAUGGAUGGACCAACAACUGAGAAUUGGUGAAUUUUCACCAGGCAGUUCUGAAACUCUAAGUUCAGCUGACAACCAUAAUAUUCAUAAUGGAGAAGAAGGGAGCGGAAUAGAUUAUGAACUGCAGUCUGACACUAGUACUGACAUAACCGACUCUUCCUCACUUGAGCAACGGCGUGCUUACAAGAUGGAGCUUCAGAAAGGAAUUGCCUUGUUCAACAAAAAACCUUCCAAAGGUAUUGAUUUUCUCAUUCGGAGCAAGAAAAUAGGCAAUUCUCCAGAAGAUGUGGCUUCUUUCUUGAGAAGUACUGCUGGAUUAAAUGCAACAAUGAUAGGCGACUAUUUGGGUGAGAGAGAUGACUUUCCCCUGAAAGUAAUGCAUGCUUAUGUGGAUGCUUUAAACUUCAAAGGCAUGGACUUUGGUCAAGCAAUUAGGUUCUUCUUGCAAGGUUUCAGGUUACCAGGAGAAGCUCAAAAAAUUGACCGGAUCAUGGAAAAAUUUGCUCAAUGCUACUGUAAAUGCAACCCAAAUGCUUUUAUUAGUGCAGAUACAGCAUAUGUUCUUGCUUAUUCUGUGAUCUUGCUAAACACUGAUGCUCAUAAUCCAAUGGUGAAGAACAAGAUGUCUAAGGCAGAUUUUAUGCGCAACAAUCGAGGAAUAGAUGAUGGGAAGGAUUUGCCAGAAGAUUAUCUGAGUGCACUGUAUGACCAUAUUGUCAACAAUGAAAUCAAAAUGAGUGCUGAUUCUUCAGUUGCACAAACCAAGCAAUCCAAUAGUGUAGGCAGGCUUCUAGGCUUGGACAAUAUUAUCAACUUUGUCAAUUGGAGACCAGCAGAAGACAAGGCAGUAGGAGCAAAUGACUUGCUUAUUAAGCACAUACAGGAAAAAUUCAAAGCAAAACGUGGGAAAUCAGAGUCCACAUUUUAUGUUGUUGCUGAUGCAACCAUUUUAAGAUUCAUGAUGGAGUCCUGUUGGGCACCUAUGAUGGCUGCAUUCAGUGUGCUCCUUGAUCAGUGUGAUGAUAAGGCUGCUACAUCACAGUGUUUGAAAGGAUUAAGAUUUUCCGUUCACAUCACUUCUGUUAUGUGCAUGCAGACACAGAGGGAUGCUUUCUUGACAUCCAUAGCCAAAUUCACAUCCCUACAUUCUGCUGCAGACAUGAAGCAAAAAAAUAUUGAUUCUAUGAAGGCUAUAAUAUCUAUCGCAAUCGAAGAUGGCAAUUACUUGCAGGAAGCUUGGGAGCAUGUAUUAACUUGUUUGUCACGGUUUGAGCACUUACAUCUGCUUGGAGAAGGGGUUCCCACUGAUGCAUCCUUUCUGACAGUACCUCUGAUUGAGUCAGAAGAAAAAACUAAGAAGUCUACUUCUGCUCUAUCUUCUAAGAAGACUAAUGCUCUUCAGAAUCCUGCUGUGAUCGCUGCCGUUAGAGGGGGUACUUAUGAUAGCACAGUGGCAAAAGGCAGUGUGUCAGCACUAGUCACUCCUGAACAGAUCAAUAAUUUCCUAUCAAGCAUUAAUUUGUUGGAUCAAAUUGGCAUUGUUGAGUUAAAUCAUAUCUUCGCCCAUAGCCAAAGAUUAAACAGUGAUGCUAUUGUUGCUUUUGUGAAGGCUCUUUGCAAGGUCUCAAUGACUGAGCUGCAGUCUCCAACAGAUCCUCGUAUCUUCUGCCUUACUAAAAUAGUAGAGAUUGCGCAUUACAAUAUGAAUCGCAUACGUCUGGUGUGGUCGCGUAUUUGGAAAGUUUUGUCAGACUUUUUUGUGUCUGUUGGGUUGUUAGAAAAUCUCUCUGUCGCUAUAUUUGUGAUGGACUCUCUGAGGCAGCUGGCUAUGAAGUUUCUAGAAAGGGAGGAACUGGCGAACUAUAACUUUCAAAAUGAGUUCCUUAGACCUUUUGUGAUUGUUAUGCAGAGGAGCAAUGCUCCAGAAGUACGAGAGCUGAUUGUUAGGUGCGUCUCACAGAUGGUUCUGAGUCGGGUUAAUAAUAUAAAGUCUGGGUGGAAGGGUGUUUUUAUGGUUUUUACUUCUGCCGCAGCUGAUGAUACAAGAAGUACUGUCCUAUUGGCAUUUGAGACGGUGGAAAAAAUUGUUCGAGAUUAUUUUCAUCACAUAACUGAAACAGAGACAACAACAUUUACUGAUUGUGUUACUUGUCUUAUUGCAUUUACGAGUAGUCAGUUUAGCAGUGAUGCCAAUCUCAAUGCUAUUGCAUUUCUACGAUACUGUGCUGUUAAACUUGCUGAGGAAGGAUUUGUUUGUCAAGAUAGGGCUUUUGAACAACCCAGGAAUUCAGCCGUUAUGUGUGGUGGAAAUGCCACUGUGCAAAAAGAUGGUCAUAUUUCCCUCUGGGAGCCUCUCCUUGCAGGUUUGGCUAAAUUGACAACUGAUCCAAGACUGACUAUCAAGAAAGGUGCUGUAGGAGUACUUUUUGACAUUUUAAAGGAUCACGGACACCUGUUUUCGCUGACUUUUUGGACUGAUAUCUUCGAACGUGUUGUUUACCCUCUAUUUAGCAAUGAAAGGACCACAAGCAGUGACCAGAUUUCAACAUCAAAUUCCGUUGAGUAUAAUUUACCUGAUCUUGAAACACAAACAUUUGCAGUGAAAUGCUUGGUGGGUUUGUUUGUUAAUUUCUUUGAUGUGAUACGGCCAGAACUUGGUAGAACAGCAUCCAUUGUUACAUUUUUCAUCAGAAGCCCCUACAAACAUUGUGCUACUAUUGGUGUAUCUGCAAUUAUGCGUUUGGCAGAGGGGGUUGGUAACAAACUUACCAAGGAGGAAUGGAAAGAGAUAUUGAUCUUCUUUAAAGAAUCAGUGAUGCACACCUUCGUCACGUUCUCUAAAAUUGUAAGAAUGAUGCAAGAUAUUGAUAUCCCAGAUAGAAUUGAUUCUUAUUCAGAAACCGAGCAAUAUUUGGAUCAAGAGAUGUAUGGUAAUGAUGAAGAGGAGGCAAAUAUGGAGACAACUUCUUAUGCUAUUGUCAAACUAAAGAAUCAUAUGGCCCUACUGCUCAUGGUGAUUCAGAACAUUACUAAAUUAUAUGAGGAGCAUAGCAAAUAUCUCCAUGCCGAGCAUAUUAGCAUUCUUUUGGAAAUGAUGUCCGCUAUUGUGACACAUUCAAGUGAAGUGAACUCUGAAUCAUCCUUGCAGAUGAAAUUUAAUAAAGCAUGUUCUCUUUUGGAGGUAUCUGAGCCAGCAACUGUUCAUUUUGAGAACGAAUCCUACCAGAGUUACCUCAAACUUCUUCAAGUUCUGCAACAUGACUAUCCAUCCUUGUCAGAAGAAAUAAACAUAGAGUCUCAAGUGCUUGAUACCUGUGAGAAAAUAUUGCAAACAUAUCUGAAGUGUGCAGGACACAAACCAUGUGAUAAAGCGUCUCAAAGAAAUCCAUCUUUACAUUGUGCAGUGCCGCUGAGCGCUGCAAAGAAAGAGGAAUUGGCUGCUAGGACUCCUCUGGUCCUUCAAGUGAUGAAAUUGCUGGGUGAUCUGGAGAGGGAUUCUUUUAGCAGAAUAUUACCCUGCUUUUUCCCAUUGUUGGUUGAUCUGAUCCGCUGUGAACAUAGCUCUGGAGAAGUUCAACAUGCACUCUACAAUAUCUUCCAAUCAACCCUUCUCCCCAUGAUACGAGUUUGAUAGCAGAUUGUGACCCACCAAUUGUACAGUUUUGUGACCCCACUUUGGUGAUGUAAUUCAGUUCAUAUGGCAUCACCCCACUAUGAGGGGUUAUACCUAUAGGUUGACGUAAAAAAUGCUGCAGGGUCUGCCAUUCAGCUGAAGGUCUAUGGAGCAUCUUUGUUAAUAUUCAUUUAAUCAAUGAUGCUCUUUUCAUGUGCUGGGGACAGGCAGAAAUACACACGGGUAUGGAAUCAUAGCCUAUGCACCCAGGCAAUUUUCCAUGACCCAAAAGUCAGGUGACCUCGGCUUCCUCAGGCCCAAUGUUACCAUUGUCCAUUGUCAUCCCACGAUCGAGUUUAUAUAUAGCACCAGAGCUAAGAACCGUUUUGAAGUUACUACUGGCUUUCACAGUCGAUUCUUUUUUCUUUUGUUACAAAACCAUAAACUAGAGGUAGAUGCCACCUAAAUACCAUUGUCAAUUUUGCUCUUCUUUUUUUCUUUGAGUUGUAUGUAGUAUUUUUUAUCCAUAGAAACACUCGAAUAGUAUCAUGAAUAUGUUCCCCUGUUUUUGCCCCA
RNA transcript from Sorghum bicolor (sorghum), 5861 nucleotides. It is a transcript of the gene named brefeldin A-inhibited guanine nucleotide-exchange protein 1, with no coding region annotated. The transcript is spliced from 12 exons. NCBI's taxonomy places the organism in Eukaryota, Viridiplantae, Streptophyta, Magnoliopsida, Poales, Poaceae. The record is from RefSeq and is a predicted model, not a curated record.